This 520-nucleotide ribosomal RNA is filed under the name uncultured bacterium. Its description in RNAcentral is "bacterial SSU rRNA". It matches the Rfam family "Bacterial small subunit ribosomal RNA", at positions 8 to 518 of the family's 1533-position model. The record is from RNAcentral.
AGAGUUUGAUCAUGGCUCAGGAUGAACGCUAGCUACAGGCUUAACACAUGCAAGUCGAGGGGCAGCAUGACGAUAGCUUGCUAUGUUGAUGGCGACCGGCGCACGGGUGAGUAACGCGUAUCCAACUUCCCCUUAGUAGGGCAUAGCCCGGCGAAAGUCGGAUUAAUACCCUAUGUUAUUCGUCGAGGACAUCUGAAAUGAAUCAAAGGUUUACCGCUAAGGGAUGGGGAUGCGUCUGAUUAGGUAGUAGGCGGGGUAACGGCCCACCUAGCCGACGAUCAGUAGGGGUUCUGAGAGGAAGGUCCCCCACAUUGGAACUGAGACACGGUCCAAACUCCUACGGGAGGCAGCAGUGAGGAAUAUUGGUCAAUGGGCGCGAGCCUGAACCAGCCAAGUAGCGUGCAAGGAUGACGGCCCUAUGGGUUGUAAACUGCUUUUAUGCGGGGAUAAAGUGCGGCACGUGUGCCGUUUUGUAGGUACCGCAUGAAUAAGGGCCGGCUAAUUCCGUGCCAGCAGCAGC